GUCAGCAUCACCACUGGCAGUUCUCGGCAUGGGAAGGUAAUAUAUUGAAGACUACUUUAGACACUCAAAUGUCUCGGACACAUCACAAGCAGAGAGAGAGAGAGAGAGAGAGAGAGAGAGAGAGAU
Molecule: long non-coding RNA, 126 nt
Organism: Syzygium oleosum
Lineage: Eukaryota; Viridiplantae; Streptophyta; Magnoliopsida; Myrtales; Myrtaceae
Exons: 2
Source: RefSeq, a predicted model, not a curated record